GUAGGUGGCAAGCGUUGUCCGGAAUUAUUGGGCGUAAAGCGCGCGCAGGGCGGUCCUUUAAGUCUGAUGUGGGAAGCCCACGGCUCAACCGUGGAGGGUCAUUGGAAACUGGGGGACUUGAGUACAGAAGAGGAAAGCGGAAUUCCAAGUGUAGCGGUGAAAUGCGUAGAGAUUUGGAGGAACACCAGUGGCGAAGGCGGCUUUCUGGUCUGUAACUGACGCUGAGGCGCGAAAGCGUGGGGAGCAAACAGGAUUAGAUACCCUGGUAGUCCACGCCGUAAACGAUGAGUGCUAAGUGUUAGGGGGUUUCCGCCCCUUAGUGCUGCAGCUAACGCAUUAAGCACUCCGCCUGGGGAGUACGGCCGCAAGGCUG
This 373-nucleotide ribosomal RNA is filed under the name uncultured organism. RNAcentral describes it as "partial 16S ribosomal RNA". It matches the Rfam family "Bacterial small subunit ribosomal RNA", at positions 527 to 896 of the family's 1533-position model. The record is from RNAcentral.